This 256-nucleotide ribosomal RNA is filed under the name uncultured delta proteobacterium. RNAcentral describes it as "partial 16S ribosomal RNA". It matches the Rfam family "Bacterial small subunit ribosomal RNA", at positions 8 to 250 of the family's 1533-position model. The record is from RNAcentral. Lineage: Bacteria; Deltaproteobacteria.
AGAGUUGUAUCCUGGCUCAGAACGAACGUUAGCGGCGCGCCUAACACAUGCAAGUCGAGCGAGAAAGGGCUUCGGCCCCGGUAAAGCGGCGCACGGGUGAGUAACACGUGGAUAACCUACCCCUUGGUGGUGGAUAACCUUCCGAAAGGAGGGCUAAUACAGCGUAAGACCACGACUUCGAAAGAGGUUGAGGUAAAAGUGGGCCUCUGUACACAAGCUCACGCCAGGGGAUGGGCCCGCGGCCCAUCAGCUAGUU